This 253-nucleotide ribosomal RNA is filed under the name uncultured bacterium. Its description in RNAcentral is "partial 16S ribosomal RNA". It matches the Rfam family "Bacterial small subunit ribosomal RNA", at positions 524 to 776 of the family's 1533-position model. The record is from RNAcentral.
UACGGAGGGAGCUAGCGUUAUUCGGAAUUACUGGGCGUAAAGAGUUCGUAGGUGGUUUGUUAAGUCUGAUGUUAAAGACUGGGGCUCAACCUCGGGACUGCAUUGGAUACUGGCAGACUUGAGUGUGGUAGAGGCAAGUGGAAUUCCAGGUGUAGCGGUGAAAUGCGUAGAUAUCUGGAAGAACACCGGUGGCGCAAGCGACUUGCUGGGCCAUAACUGACACUGAGGAACGAAAGCUAGGGGAGCGAAUGGG